Pezoporus occidentalis (night parrot) is the source of this 6891-nucleotide long non-coding RNA. RefSeq lists it as uncharacterized. NCBI's taxonomy places the organism in Eukaryota, Metazoa, Chordata, Aves, Psittaciformes, Psittacidae. The record is from RefSeq and is a predicted model, not a curated record. The transcript is spliced from 6 exons.
UGGGGAGGCAGCCAGGGGCUCUCUGGGCUUGGGGCUCUGCUUGGGCACCCUCAGGUCCUGCCAUGGGAGCGGAUGUGGGCAGGAGGGGCUUCUGCCUCUUCAGCUCAUUCUGGAAGAAAAUAUCUGCUCCUGCUUUCAGCUGUCCUGCAGGAUGAAGCUCUCCAUCUAUCCCAGAUCCCGAUCAUACAGCAGUGUGGCAUGCUCUGUCCAUGCAUCAAGGACCAUGUCCACCUGGGGAAGGGGAAUGCCUGGAUGAUAGUGUGGUGGAGAAGAUGAUCUCUUGCCUUCAUGAAGGUGCUCUGAGGUUGCCCUCCUGCUCCACAGCAUGUGUGCUGCUUCGCUUCACCUCCCUUCCUGCAGCAAAUGGGUCAUUAUUUCCAGCUGGAUAAGUUCUCCAGCCUAUUCCUCACAAGCAAUACUGGGACAAGCAGCUGAGACCGCAGUGCCACCACAGUGAAGCUGUCACUUGAAGGAGAUGCAGCUGGAAGCUGGGCUGCACACCCACCUCUGGAUCCUGGUGCUACCAAAAUCGAAGUCAGGCUGCAUGUGUAUAUAUCAAAUUGCUGGAACGAAGAAGAAAUUCACUUCCCUGCUGCCAAUCUUCCUGGCAUUCAAUCUUCUGUGUCUGCUUUCAGCUGAGGGCUGCAGAGGAGCAGCGGAGGCAGUGGGGCGGGUGGCAGGGCUGCGGCUCCCCUGGGAAAGCAUUGCAUGUGUGAGACGAGCUGUGAGAGUGUCUGGGCAACAAGCAUCAGUGCACAAACCAGAGAGAGGAGACUGGAAUGUAAAAAGGAAACGAGUACAUGGAAAUUCAGAACUCUCCCCAGACGAAAAACAGAGGGAGAGGGUUUUUUUGGCAACUGAAGUUGCAAAAAAUGUUUCUGAUUUUCUUCCUCGUUUCAAACUUUGCAAACUGCACCUAGCUCUAGUCACACAGCUGCAUCCUACAUCCUCUACUGAACCCAGAAUGGGUCAGCCUGGAAGAAGCCACCACCCUCCCAUCAUCAUUGGCAGGACCAGUGGGAUCUGCCCCUCUGGCCAAGACGUUCCCCUGGGGUCCAUAUGUCCUGCUGAAGGAAAAGCCUCACAUCCCUUGGGGAUCAGAUGGGCUGCUCAUGGGUGUCCCCCUCAUCUCCCCAGCUGCCUUUUCUUAUUGCUCCCCUGCCAUCAUGCUGGUAAUUUCUGUACCCUCCUUUUACUUUCAGGGUUGUGAAAAAGGGGAGACUGAGAUGAGCUCUUAGGCAGAAGCUCUUCCCUGUGAGGGUGCUGAGGCGCUGGCACAGGGUGCCCAGAGAAGCUGUGGCUGCCCCAUCCCUGGCAGUGUCCAAGGCCAGGUUGGACACAGGGGCUUGGAGCAAGCUGCUCUAGUGGAAGGUGUUCCUGCCUGUGGCAGGGGGGUGGAAAUGGGUGAGCUUUAAGGUCUCUUCCAACCCAACAUUCUGUGAUAUGAUUCUAUGACUGUGGUUUCUCUCCACCUCCUUCAGCAGAAGCGGGUGGGUGACUUCUCCCUUCCCCAGCUCCCCAGUCCAGAAUGUCACAGCUUCACCCUGUCUGCUGAGCCAUGAGUGUGCCCUGCCACAGGGCCACCAGGAGCUGGGGGAGCUGCAAGACCUCACUGGGUCUCUGUGGCUGGCUGAGAUAACUCCAAGCCUGCAGGUCAGAGCAGCAGGGCCCAUUUGUAAGCAAUUUACCUCAAGAAUUUGGCAGCCGAAGUUCAAGCAGCUUUCCUGGGCGAGUAAAUGACACUGUGUGUUUCUGUGUCACAUCCGGAUGAGCGCGACUUGUUGAGUGAGGUUAGUAGCGCAUAUAUUUGUGCUUACCGACUCGAAAUGUGCUUCCUAUGGAUAUUCCGUAAUAUUUACUUAAAUCUAGCUGUUUCUGUUAAGGCUCCUGGCAGCAAGAACAAUUAGCGAAUUUUCAUAGCUAACAAAGGCAAAACAGGACACUGGGCAGGGUCUGAACUGAUUGAGGACUUGAGUGCAUGCAGUAUUUGUUUUGUGGUAUUUAGCUGAUUCAGUUUACAAUGUGGGACAUUUUAUUUAUUUAUUUUUAAAGCAUGUCUUGUGUGCGUCCCCCCCCCCCCCCCUUGUAAAUCCUGUGGUUCUAUCCAGGAUUCAAGUUACAAACUUUUGCUGUUUUGCUUCAGCCAUGAUUUUUUCAUAAAAGCGUGGUUAGGCUAUUUUUACUUUAGAAAAUGAAUUGGUUUUCUCCUUUUUUUUUUUUUUUUUUGCUGAUAAAUUGCAAAUGGACGAAGGGAAUUUGCUCAGACUUUUCCCACAGACAUUCUCCUUUGGGCAGAGAUUAAACAUGGGGGGUUUCAGUCUAAAAUGCAAAUGCUUUGGACAUUUAUGAGAGUGGGAAAACAGGGGCCCAUUAUGAGAACUGCUUUGUGACUUGAUUGGGGUGCUACUGGGAGCCAGCACUGCCCUGGGAGGCUCAGAGCGGCGUGCCUGGCCUCAGCAGCCAGACUUCACCCUUCUCCUAUGAUCAGGCUUGUGGGAGAGAUGGGGAGCACCAUGUCCUGGAGGUGGAGACCUGGUUUGCACAGCAAGAUCUGCUCCUGUGGGUUGUUUAACAUUUGCUGGCUGCAAAUCCCAGCUGAUGGUGGAGUUGUGGGACGCUGGAAGCCUCUCCAGCCCCAUGGGGGAAGCGGAGUGAGUGUCUGGGGGGACGCUGGUCACUGGUCAGCAGGAUGGAUACAGCUGCAAUUUGGGCAUCAUAUAUGGGUUGCUUUAGGAAGAUGGACACAGUUCACAGCUCCUUGCUUGCGUGGUGCUUAAGUGAGAAGGUAAUGUGACUCUUAAAGCUCCCAGUUUGGGUGAAGGUGAAAUAUGACAUCUUGGUUUUCUCCCAUGAUACUCCCCCUUGUUCCUGUGUCUGGACCUGGGGAGCAGCUGCUUCUGCUGCUUGGGAGCCCUUGCUGCCUGCAGGGGCCACAUGGGAGAGCAUAGGGUGGCUGCAAGUGCCUUUGGGAGCCCUGGGAGGCCGCUGAUGGGUUUAGGAAGGAGUAGGAGGGGGCUUGUGAUGAGAGCUCCUCCGGGGAAAUCCCCGCAGCGUCUGACAGCAGAUUGGCACUGUGAAAAAUUUACAUCUCCUGCUGAGAACUCAAUUUCCAUAGGAGAUAAUCAGAUGUGACCCGUGUAACACAGUGAUGUUUUUACAGGAUGUUUUUGCUUCCUUUUUUUUUCUGUUUGCUCCUCUCUCUCUCAAUUUCCAUUUGGCGUCUUCAGCAGUUCCCGAUGGUUGUAUUUUGACAAGGAUUCUCAAACCACUUGUAAACACUUCAGAGUGAGGACAAGGUGGGAACCACAGCGUCUACCUCCAGUUAUUAACAUGACUUCAGGAUGAAGUAGGUUGACCCCAGAGCCUGGCUGCCUGGUCCUGUGGGGCUGGAUCCAUUUACUGCCAUCCUGGAGGUUAUCAGAGGGAGGUGUGUGGGAGAGGGAAGAAGGGGAAAGCAGGAGGAAGGAUGUAACAGGGCAGAAAUGGUGCAGGCAUAGGGGGAAAAGUGUGGGAGUGAAGAUUAUUGGAAGGCAACACCAGCAAAGCUGUGAGGGCAAUCCUCUUCUUCCACCCACAGACUCUCUUAAGCCCUCGCCUGUCAGUCAGCCCCUUAUUUACAUGAAUACUAAAUCCACUUGCAGCUUCUUUAAAUAAAACAAGAACACGCACCUUCCUGUAGUGAAACAUAUUAUAGCAGUUUGUCACAGCAUCAUCCAGUAGGUAUUAAUUCCCAAAUCAUUCUAUGACAUGUUUUAUCAUAAGUUAUUAAAGAAGGUAGCUGCAUUGGGCAAUCAUUUGAUAAACUGAGCCAUAAUUUAACAUGCUCUUCCGUCAUAUUAGUGAGGAACAAGAUUUAUUUUCCCAGUGCAACUUUAAUUAUGGAUAGCACAUGCAGGCGAUUGAGCUGACUGAAUCUUUAAGGUUAAUGAUGUCUCCUGCAGAGCACCUUGGGGUAAGGCACAGGAUCUUCCCCACGCUCCUGACUCACCUGUGGUUGGCAUAUCUGGCUCCAGGUAACAAUAUGACCUUGAAUUUUGAGCCUUAAAAAGGUGGUUGUGUUUUUCUAGUGAGAUUUAGGGCAUUCAGAAUGCACUGCCAAGGUUGGCCAGGUGCCUGGCUGCGGUCCCCUCGGGGAAGCAGAGUGCUUCUGCCUCCCCUGACGCCUCACAAGCAGCAGGAGGGACUUUCCCGACUGAGCAAGAGUGUGUCUCUAAAUCCAUGCUUAUCUGAAUAGCCAGAAGUUGCCUCACAAUGAUUCCCAUGGAUUCUGGUCACUUUGUGGCCCAUCGGGCUGAGCAAACUGUGAAAAUCUGUGCUCUGCACAGGCCACAGAAGUGUGUUUUCUGACAAGGACUGCUCAUCACACACCGCUGUCUGCUACAGGUAGCGGCAGCAACCCGGCUCCAGACCUGCUUCUCCUGAGACUGGACUCCUUCCCUGAGCCUUGGCUCUUAGCAGUUACUUUUAGCACUUCCACUGCAGCUGCAAAUUCUCCAAGACCACUGUGAAGCAGAGGGCCCACCACUGCUUUCUCGAGACCCUGCUCUUCAGGCUCGGGUGGCUGUUAGACGACUUUGGAAUCACAAGGAUAUAGGCAAAGGAGUGUGGGUAUCUGCUUCUGCAGCCUGUGCUCCUUUGGGCAGAGCCGGCUGUGAACCCAGCCUGUUGGGGUGCUAAAACAGAGCUCAGGGAGCUAGAAAAGCACCAAGGGAAUGACCCAGAGGCUUCCAAAGAAGCUGAGCAUCUCCUCCUAUCUGGGGGAGUAAAUGACCCUCCUGGCGAAUAUCACUAUUAGGCUGAAAUCCUCAGGUUCCCUUGUUUGCUGCUGCUUUCUUGCUCUUUUUCACAGCUUUAUUUUUGGCUCUGGAAAUUGUCUUUUAAUUUCUGUGCCUUUGUUUUCAUGUCUCUUGGCCCCAGCCUUUUGAUUGCUCUCCCAGCUCUGGACAUGGAGGAUGCAGGGAGAUGAGCACAGAGGGUUCCCUGGCUGCUGUGGUGCUGGUGUGGGGCCAUGCGUUUCCCUGCCACCUCAGCAGGGAAAGAUCCAGGUGCAAAAUGCUGUCCCUGAGGAAGGGCUAGUGUUUGGGGGUGCUGGAGAAGCAGUACAGCAAGAGGUCAGGUUGCUCAUAAGGAUCAUUGCAAGUGGCAGAGAGAAACCAGCCCAAAGCAUCCUGCUGCUUCCUCCCUGCUGCCACUAUGCUCAUAAUCAGAAAUACGGAAAAAAAAUACUAAUCCCUUAUUAAACUAAAUUACUAAGCAGUUUGGGACAGGGAGGGAAUGUAGGAGGGAAGAGAUGCUUAAACACAUCAGGCUGAUGUAAUUUCUUUUAGUCAGGAGCAGGAGAAACACAAUCCAGUUCUCUUCCCCCCAGCAGAACAAAGGGGAAAGUCCCCACGGGGAGAUUAGGAAAAGUGAAACAAAAUAAAACCCAACCAAAAAACAACCACAAAUGAGACAGGAGAGUAACAAAAAAAUAAAGAAGGAAGAGAAGAAAAAAGGAAAGACAAAACCAUCAUCCCCCUCAAGUGUCCCCUCUGUUGUGUGUAACAGCUUCUCGCUUCCCCCACUUCCCCAGCACCAGUCAGGCUUACAGAGCCAUAAAAUAAGAGUUUGUGGUGUGUUCAAUCGAUUAUUUCUCCUAAUGCACUGUUUUUGGAGACAGGUAAUUUAUUUCAGACUCUACAUGUCUACAUGCAAAAAAACACACAAAAAAAAAUCGCUUCUUUCUCUUUCUUCACUUUUUGGUUUACAGCCCUUUCUUUUUUGCCCCUUUGCUCCCUCCUCCCCCUCGCUUCCCCCUCUCAAGUCCCCCCAGACACAAGAGUUUCCCAGUGAAAGGUGCAGCCAUUCCCACAGUGAAACCCAAGGCAGGUAAUGACUUUCUCACCCCAUCCAUACUGCUCCAGAAACUGCUGCCUCACCAGCUGCAUCCCUUUAUUUUGGAGAAACAAGGGGGAGGGGGGAAGUGCCAGCCCCCUCUGAUUCCCUCUCCUCCAAGGCCUCCCCAUAAAAAAGGAGAAAGAUAUAAAGGGAGCAAGUGUUUGCAGAGAUAGAGUUUCCAUUAGACAGCGGGGCUGGGGAAGGAGCAGGCUCCCGAGCCUGCACUGUACUCACCAGGCUCGGCACACGGGGUCCAUGGGCAGGCAGGAAGCUUUGUCUGAUGCUCCCAGUUCUGGGGAAAGUCAGAGCGGGAUUGGGUUCCCACAUGUCCCUAGGAAGCCCUGGCUGCCAACCCCAGGCCCUGGGAACAGAGGUCCCAAAUUGCUGUGCUGGGUGCAGCUCAGCCCCAGGCCCGCACGCUGCUGCACAGCCGUGGUCCAGCCAUGAUGGCAGGGUUUGUUGUGGCUGCUACCCCCAGCCCUCGGGCAGCAACACCUUCCAAGUAGUGUUUGGAGCAGGGAGAACCAGGUUUACAGCUCGGCAGCUGAAAUGAAACAGCCAGCAGUGAGGUUUGCAGGGGAUCUGCUCAGGGCUGCCUGGCCCUGUCUAAGGAGGACCGGCGUUUAUGGCAGCCCAGUGCACACCAUGACGGGGCUCCUCUCCAUCCCUCACCAAGCCUUUGAGCUGUCGGGCCUCUGCUCUGGGACAGUGCUGUCCACUGGUCCCAAGGACAGGCUGGAGCCAGAAGCUGCAGCGAGCGGUGGUGGUGGUGAAGGGACACACCAGUUCUUGUCCCCAGACCUCAUCACUCCCAUGAUAACUGAUCUCUGCAGAGCCUCGGUGGUACAAGUACAGAUGAGCAGAUUUGCAGGGCUUUAGGACACAAUAUACAGGAUUACUCCAGAAGGGUAUACACCCUAAUGUGCUCUGUCCUCCCAGGAAAAGAGGAGAUUACCCAUCACUGACAGCUUUGCUGUAAAGCCCAGGCAGGGCUCCUGGACUGGAAGGUUUUGU